This 227-nucleotide ribosomal RNA is filed under the name uncultured bacterium. RNAcentral describes it as "partial 16S ribosomal RNA". It matches the Rfam family "Bacterial small subunit ribosomal RNA", at positions 107 to 334 of the family's 1533-position model. The record is from RNAcentral.
UGAGUAACACGUAUCCAACCUGCCGUCUACUCUUGGACAGCCUUCUGAAAGGAAGAUUAAUACAAGAUGGCAUCAUGAGUCCGCAUGUUCACAUGAUUAAAGGUAUUCCGGCAGACGAUGGGGAUGCGUUCCAUUAGAUAGUAGGCGGGGUAACGGCCCACCUAGUCUUCGAUGGAUAGGGGUUCUGAGAGGAAGGUCCCCCACAUUGGAACUGAGACACGGUCCAA